Long non-coding RNA from Saccostrea echinata, 467 nucleotides. RefSeq lists it as uncharacterized. The transcript is spliced from 3 exons. NCBI's taxonomy places the organism in Eukaryota, Metazoa, Mollusca, Bivalvia, Ostreida, Ostreidae. The record is from RefSeq and is a predicted model, not a curated record.
GUACAAAAACACAUAUGUAUGAUGUUAAUAAUAAUUAAAAAACGACGAGAGAACGGUUUAUGUACACUACGGCCAAAUUGUACGAUCCUCGAGCUCCCAUUCUUGGUUCUGUGAGCGGACUCUGAACGGUAACCGUGGCUUGAGACGAUGAUCAUGAAGUUCAAGUUGAUGUUUCUGACGAAGACGAUAAACUGUGGUACCCGUAUUAUUUCUGAAGACGUUUUAAGACUCAGGAAAAAAAUCUACAGAGAUACAUGUACUGAAGAAAUACCUGCUGUUGAAAAAAAAAACCCUAGCUAAGACAUGUUUGUUUUUAUUUACAAACAACAUGAUCAGGUAGAAACAACAAUAUAACUCAAAUUGCUGCAUCUAUUGGAGCACCCAUCUUUAGCAGAAAUUUUACUUGAAUUUACAGCAUUUCCAUCGAGGCAUCAAAGCAUGAAUUGAUCAUUGUAACUUACAUGUAA